UAAGUCUUGUUUGUAUUGUGGCACUUACAUAACAUGGAUUUUAUUUAGUCUUUGAUGUAGUCUUGAUAUCUUAAGGAUAGUUAGCUUAUCAUAAAAUCAUAAUGUGUCUUUGGACAAUUAUAUGUUUUAUAUCUAUUGGAAAAAAAAUCGAAUAUAAAUUUGGAGCUUUGUAUGCACAAGUACAGGAAUUCAUUUUUCUGAUUAAAAAAUUAUAAAGAAAUGUGUUACCUUGUUUAAUUAUAUCUCCCUUGUUUGUAUGAAUUUCUUGUUUUUAUGUUCAUCAGUGUCAGGAAAUCAGGAGUGCCCCCUGCAGAAAAGUAUUGUUGCCCUUCGAAAAUAAUUUCGCAAGGAAAAAAUGAACAGCAAAGCUUUCUUCCACCAAUGUUCUCUAGAAGAAGUUAUUCAGAACCCAGGAAAACAAAAUCCAGCUUUUGGUUCAAAUUGAAGGUGGUGAUAUUUCCCUUUUCCUCUAGAAUUUUGAAAUUGGUUUCUGUUGAUUAACUAGAGCAUUGGAGAAAGCUUCAGCCUUUUCCUGCCCAUAGGGGAUCUUGCCAUUGAUCAGACUACUUUCAUUACUGAGUUGUGAGUUUUUUAUUAAAGGAGUGGAAGGAAAAGAUACAUCCAUUGGGAUGGAAAAGAAAGGAAAGAAUUUGUUGUGUCCAUU
Quercus robur (English oak) is the source of this 664-nucleotide long non-coding RNA. RefSeq lists it as uncharacterized. The record is from RefSeq and is a predicted model, not a curated record. NCBI's taxonomy places the organism in Eukaryota, Viridiplantae, Streptophyta, Magnoliopsida, Fagales, Fagaceae. The transcript is spliced from 2 exons.